GCUGGGCGUGGUGGCGCACGCCUGUAAUCCCAGCUACUCGGGAGGCUGAGGCAGGAGAAUUGCUUGAACCUGGGAGGCGGAGGUUGCAGUGAGCUGAGAUUGUGCCACUGCACUCCAGCCUGGGCAACAGAGCAAGACUCCAUCUCAA
This is a non-coding RNA of Homo sapiens (human), 148 nucleotides long. It matches the Rfam family "Metazoan signal recognition particle RNA". Rfam says of the family: The signal recognition particle (SRP) is a universally conserved ribonucleoprotein. It is involved in the co-translational targeting of proteins to membranes. Lineage: Eukaryota; Metazoa; Chordata; Mammalia; Primates; Hominidae. The record is from Rfam.